Molecule: unclassified non-coding RNA, 404 nt
Filed under: soil metagenome
Description: partial contains 5.8S ribosomal RNA, internal transcribed spacer 2, and large subunit ribosomal RNA
Rfam family: 5.8S ribosomal RNA (bases 1-121)
Source: RNAcentral
GAUGAAGAACGUAGCGAAAUGCGAUAAGUAGUGUGAAUUGCAGAUGUAACGUGAAUCAUCGAAUCUUUGAACGCAAAUUGCACUCUCUGGUAUUCCGGGGAGUAUGCCUGUUUGAGGGUCGCCAAAUCAACAUCGAAAUUCAUUUGCUUUUGUAAAUGUUUAUCGGAUUUGAGCCGUCUUUUUAUAUUCUUUUAAAGUGGCUUAAAAUGUAUUUUUUGGUAUCGAAAAACGUUAUUUUACGAUCAAAAUUGAUUAAAAAACAAACGUUUCGAAUGCCAUCUUUUAAUGUAAUACGUUUGACUGUGGUGUUAACCAUAGUUUUCAUUCGUAUACGAUUUUUUAAUUUUUGACCUCAAAUCAGGUAAGAACACCCGCUGAACUUAAGCAUAUCAAUAAGCGGAGGA